GUGCCUAAUACAUGCAAGUCGAGCGAAUCGAUGGGAGCUUGCUCCCUGAGAUUAGCGGCGGACGGGUGAGUAACACGUGGGCAACCUGCCUAUAAGACUGGGAUAACUUCGGGAAACCGGAGCUAAUACCGGAUACGUUCUUUUCUCGCAUGAGAGAAGAUGGAAAGACGGUUUCGGCUGUCACUUAUAGAUGGGCCCGCGGCGCAUUAGCUAGUUGGUGAGGUAAUGGCUCACCAAGGCGACGAUGCGUAGCCGACCUGAGAGGGUGAUCGGCCACACUGGGACUGAGACACGGCCCAGACUCCUACGGGAGGCAGCAGUAGGGAAUCUUCCGCAAUGGACGAAAGUCUGACGGAGCAACGCCGCGUGAACGAAGAAGGCCUUCGGGUCGUAAAGUUCUGUUGUUAGGGAAGA
This 414-nucleotide ribosomal RNA is filed under the name Bacillus sp. 027-2.2-LH-H16(s)-04. RNAcentral's name for it is "bacterial SSU rRNA". It matches the Rfam family "Bacterial small subunit ribosomal RNA", at positions 44 to 448 of the family's 1533-position model. Lineage: Bacteria; Bacillati; Bacillota; Bacilli; Caryophanales; Bacillaceae. The record is from RNAcentral. RNAcentral also lists the same sequence under 1 other name.